GGGCUAAAACUAUGUGCCGAAGCUGCGGAUUUGACAUUAGUCAAGUGGUAGGGGAGCGUUCUGUAAGCCGAUGAAGGUGUAUUGAGAAGUAUGCUGGAGGUAUCAGAAGUGCGAAUGCUGACGUGAGUAACGACAAAACGGGUGAAAAACCCGUUCGCCGAAAGACCAAGGGUUCCAGUCCAACGUUAAUCGGGGCUGGGUGAGUCGACCCCUAAGGCGAGGCCGAAAGGCGUAGUCGAUGGGAAAAUGGUUAAUAUUCCAUUACUUC
This 268-nucleotide ribosomal RNA is filed under the name Acinetobacter baumannii. Its description in RNAcentral is "partial 23S ribosomal RNA". It matches the Rfam family "Bacterial large subunit ribosomal RNA", at positions 1178 to 1447 of the family's 2925-position model. Lineage: Bacteria; Pseudomonadati; Pseudomonadota; Gammaproteobacteria; Moraxellales; Moraxellaceae. The record is from RNAcentral.